Molecule: ribosomal RNA, 1369 nt
Filed under: uncultured bacterium
Lineage: Bacteria
Description: bacterial SSU rRNA
Rfam family: Bacterial small subunit ribosomal RNA
Source: RNAcentral
GACGAACGCUGGCGGCGUGCCUAAUACAUGCAAGUAGAACGCUGAAGAGAGGAGCUUGCUCUUCUUGGAUGAGUUGCGAACGGGUGAGUAACGCGUAGGUAACCUGCCUUGUAGCGGGGGAUAACUAUUGGAAACGAUAGCUAAUACCGCAUAACAAUGGAUGACACAUGUCAUUUAUUUGAAAGGGGCAAUUGCUCCACUACAAGAUGGACCUGCGUUGUAUUAGCUAGUAGGUGAGGUAACGGCUCACCUAGGCGACGAUACAUAGCCGACCUGAGAGGGUGAUCGGCCACACUGGGACUGAGAUACGGCCCAGACUCCUACGGGAGGCAGCAGUAGGGAAUCUUCGGCAAUGGGGGCAACCCUGACCGAGCAACGCCGCGUGAGUGAAGAAGGUUUUCGGAUCGUAAAGCUCUGUUGUAAGUCAAGAACGAGUGUGAGAGUGGAAAGUUCACACUGUGACGGUAGCUUACCAGAAAGGGACGGCUAACUACGUGCCAGCAGCCGCGGUAAUACGUAGGUCCCGAGCGUUGUCCGGAUUUAUUGGGCGUAAAGCGAGCGCAGGCGGUUUGAUAAGUCUGAAGUUAAAGGCUGUGGCUCAACCAUAGUUCGCUUUGGAAACUGUCAAACUUGAGUGCAGAAGGGGAGAGUGGAAUUCCAUGUGUAGCGGUGAAAUGCGUAGAUAUAUGGAGGAACACCGGUGGCGAAAGCGGCUCUCUGGUCUGUAACUGACGCUGAGGCUCGAAAGCGUGGGGAGCGAACAGGAUUAGAUACCCUGGUAGUCCACGCCGUAAACGAUGAGUGCUAGGUGUUGGAUCCUUUCCGGGAUUCAGUGCCGCAGCUAACGCAUUAAGCACUCCGCCUGGGGAGUACGACCGCAAGGUUGAAACUCAAAGGAAUUGACGGGGGCCCGCACAAGCGGUGGAGCAUGUGGUUUAAUUCGAAGCAACGCGAAGAACCUUACCAGGUCUUGACAUCCCGAUGCUAUUUCUAGAGAUAGAAAGUUACUUCGGUACAUCGGUGACAGGUGGUGCAUGGUUGUCGUCAGCUCGUGUCGUGAGAUGUUGGGUUAAGUCCCGCAACGAGCGCAACCCCUAUUGUUAGUUGCCAUCAUUCAGUUGGGCACUCUAGCGAGACUGCCGGUAAUAAACCGGAGGAAGGUGGGGAUGACGUCAAAUCAUCAUGCCCCUUAUGACCUGGGCUACACACGUGCUACAAUGGUUGGUACAACGAGUUGCGAGUCGGUGACGGCAAGCUAAUCUCUUAAAGCCAAUCUCAGUUCGGAUUGUAGGCUGCAACUCGCCUACAUGAAGUCGGAAUCGCUAGUAAUCGCGGAUCAGCACGCCGCGGUGAAUACGUUCCCGGGCCU